Molecule: ribosomal RNA, 510 nt
Filed under: Psiloglonium sasicola
Lineage: Eukaryota; Fungi; Ascomycota; Dothideomycetes; Hysteriales; Hysteriaceae
Description: eukaryotic LSU rRNA
Rfam family: Eukaryotic large subunit ribosomal RNA
Source: RNAcentral
GGGCCCGAGUUGUAAUUUGCAGAGGAUGCUUCGGCGCCGGCCCCGGCCUAAGUUCCUUGGAACAGGACGUCGCAGAGGGUGAGAAUCCCGUACGCGGCCGGCGGCCCCCGCCAUGUGAAGCUCCUUCGACGAGUCGAGUUGUUUGGGAAUGCAGCUCUAAAUGGGAGGUAAAUUUCUCCUAAGGCUAAAUACCGGCCAGAGACCGAUAGCGCACAAGUAGAGUGAUCGAAAGAUGAAAAGCACUUUGGAAAGAGAGUUAAAAAGUACGUGAAAUUGUUGAAAGGGAAGCGCUUGCAACCAGACCUGCCCGCGGUUGUUCAUCCAGGCUCCCGCCUGGUGCACUCCUCCGCGGUCAGGCCAGCAUCGGUUCGGGCGGUCGGACAAAGGCGGUGGGAACGUGGCUCCCCCCGGGGAGUGUUAUAGCCCGCCGCGCAAUGCGGCCAGCCGGGACCGAGGUCCGCGCUUCGGCUAGGAUGCUGGCGUAAUGGUUGCAAGCGGCCCGUCUUGAAA